GGGGGCGAUCUGGGUUCGACGGAGGCUGGGAAGCCAGAGUCGCAUGCCGGGGUUCCGCAGGCCCCGUCAACAAAAGCGGACUGCUAUAAACGCAGACGAACCACUAGCACUGGCUGCUUAAUGCGGUCACGUCUUACCACCCUGCGCCCGUAGGGGUGGAUAAGGCGACACACUUCGGGCUAGGUCGCCGCCCUCGCCGGUAAGACGGCGGCCGAAACUCUUCUCCGGAUGGCGCCGAGGAUCCUGCCCGUGGGAGCCGACCGCGCGACAUUAAUUCACGGGCUACGCAUGUAGUGGCUCUCGGUGGACCACCUUCGGACGGGGGUUCGAUUCCCCCCGCCUCCAUCC
RNAcentral lists this transfer-messenger RNA (348 nucleotides) under Deltaproteobacteria bacterium. It matches the Rfam family "transfer-messenger RNA". From Rfam's summary of the family: Bacterial tmRNA, also known as 10Sa RNA or SsrA, is named for its dual tRNA and mRNA-like properties. RNAcentral also lists the same sequence under 1 other name. Lineage: Bacteria; Pseudomonadati; Myxococcota; Myxococcia. The record is from RNAcentral.